RNAcentral lists this ribosomal RNA (438 nucleotides) under uncultured prokaryote. RNAcentral describes it as "partial 16S ribosomal RNA". The record is from RNAcentral.
CCUACGGGGGGCAGCGGGUUGGAUGCCCGGUUCGAUUUUGACUUGCCGGCUUUUGCGGAAGAGUACAACUUCCCCUCUGUUACCGUGUUCAACUGUCUCAAAUUCCUUGAAAAAGAGGGUUAUAUCAUGUUGACUGAAGCCCUUUUCAAUCCUUCACGGGUACAUAUUAAGACCGACAAGGAGACCCUUUAUCGCUUUCAGGUCAGUCAUGCAGCCCUCGACCACCUCAUAAAGACCAUGCUCCGCUCUUACAGUGGAAUCUUAUCAGAUUUUGUCAGGAUCAAUGAAUCUGAAAUCGCCCGCAGAGCCGAUAUCCCGAUCGAACAGGUGAAGGCUGGGCUGGAACGAUUAUCCCAUCGCCAACUUUUGGAUUACCUGCCGCAAAAUGACAAGCCCCAGUUGGUUUACCUGCAGGAAAGGGUUGAUACCCUAGUAGUC